Molecule: ribosomal RNA, 484 nt
Filed under: uncultured bacterium
Lineage: Bacteria
Description: partial 16S ribosomal RNA
Rfam family: Bacterial small subunit ribosomal RNA
Source: RNAcentral
AUUGAACGCUGGCGGCAGGCCUAACACAUGCAAGUCGAGCGGAUGAAUGGUGCUUGCUCCUGGAUUCAGCUGCGGACGGGUGAGUAAUGCCUAAGAAUCUCCCUGGUCGUGUCUGAUAACGUCCGGAAACGGGCGCUAAUACCGCAUACGUCCUGACGGAGCAACUGGGUGAUCUUCGGACCUCCUGCGAUCACAUGAGCCUAGGUCGGAUUAGCUAGUUGGUUGGGUAAAGGCCUACCAAGGCGACGAUCCGUAACUGGUCUGAGAGGAUGAACAGACACACUGGAACUGAGACACGGUCACGAGUCCUACGGGAGGACGCAGUGGGGAAUAUUGGACAAUGGGGGAAAGCCUGAUCCAGCCAUGCAGCGUGUGUGAAGAAGGUCUUCGGGUUGUAAAGCACUUUAAGUUGGGAGGAAGGGCAGUAAGUUCAUACCUUGCUGUCUUGACGGUACCUAAAGAAUAAGCACCGGCUAACUUCGUG